Molecule: transfer RNA, 82 nt
Filed under: Fructobacillus ficulneus
Lineage: Bacteria; Bacillati; Bacillota; Bacilli; Lactobacillales; Lactobacillaceae
Also listed under: 9 other names
Description: tRNA-Leu
Rfam family: tRNA
About the family: Transfer RNA (tRNA) molecules are approximately 80 nucleotides in length.
Source: RNAcentral
GCGGAUGUGGCGGAAUUGGCAGACGCGCUGGAUUUAGGUUCCAGUGGAGUAAUCCGUGCAGGUUCGAUUCCUGUCAUCCGUA